RNAcentral lists this unclassified non-coding RNA (194 nucleotides) under uncultured Trechisporales. Its description in RNAcentral is "sequence contains ITS1". Lineage: Eukaryota; Fungi; Basidiomycota; Agaricomycetes; Trechisporales. The record is from RNAcentral.
ACGUGUUCUACGACGGCGAGGGGCGCCCUGCUCCGGUCCCAAAAGGCCGUGCAGCGGGCGCCACGAGCCGCUCGACCUUUGCAAACCCACAGUAGUGCACUUUUGUCGGCAGAGGGGCCCCUGCGGCUCCGAGCCGGAUCACAAACACUAUGUAAACAGAAUGAUAUGCGGACGCAGUUCCGCCCAAACUUUGA